AUUGAACGCUGGCGGCAGGCCUAACACAUGCAAGUCGAACGGUAACAGGAAGCAGCUUGCUGCUUUGCUGACGAGUGGCGGACGGGUGAGUAAUGUCUGGGAAACUGCCUGAUGGAGGGGGAUAACUACUGGAAACGGUAGCUAAUACCGCAUAACGUCGCAAGACCAAAGAGGGGGACCUUAGGGCCUCUUGCCAUCGGAUGUGCCCAGAUGGGAUUAGCUAGUAGGUGGGGUAACGGCUCACCUAGGCGACGAUCCCUAGCUGGUCUGAGAGGAUGACCAGCCACACUGGAACUGAGACACGGUCCAGACUCCUACGGGAGGCAGCAGUGGGGAAUAUUGCACAAUGGGCGCAAGCCUGAUGCAGCCAUGCCGCGUGUAUGAAGAAGGCCUUCGGGUUGUAAAGUACUUUCAGCGGGGAGGAAGGGAGUAAAGUUAAUACCUUUGCUCAUUGACGUUACCCGCAGAAGAAGCACCGGCUAACUCUGU
RNAcentral lists this ribosomal RNA (489 nucleotides) under uncultured bacterium. Its description in RNAcentral is "partial 16S ribosomal RNA". It matches the Rfam family "Bacterial small subunit ribosomal RNA", at positions 30 to 506 of the family's 1533-position model. The record is from RNAcentral.